Molecule: ribosomal RNA, 468 nt
Filed under: uncultured bacterium
Lineage: Bacteria
Description: partial 16S ribosomal RNA
Rfam family: Bacterial small subunit ribosomal RNA
Source: RNAcentral
GACGAACGCUGGCGGCGUGCUUAACACAUGCAAGUCGAACGGAAAGGCCCUGCUUUUGUGGGGUGCUCGAGUGGCGAACGAGUGAGUAACACGUGAGUAACCUGCCCUUGACUUUGGGAUAACUUCAGGAAACUGGGGCUAAUACCGGAUAGGAGCUCCUGCUGCAUGGUGGGGGUUGGAAAGUUUCGGCGGUUGGGGAUGGACUUGCGGCUUAUCAGCUUGUUGGUGGGGUAGUGGCUUACCAAGGCUUUGACGGGUAGCCGGCCUGAGAGGGUGACCGGCCACAUUGGGACUGAGAUACGGCCCAGACUCCUACGGGAGGCAGCAGUGGGGAAUAUUGCACAAUGGGCGGAAGCCUGAUGCAGCAACGCCGCGUGCGGGAUGACGGCCUUCGGGUUGUAAACCGCUUUCGCCUGUGACGAAGCGUGAGUGACGGUAAUGGGUAAAGAAGCACCGGCUAACUACGUG